CGUUGAUAUUUGAAUGCACGACAAUGAUAUGUGAAUGAUGAUGGUGURCACGUCGGUUUAAUUACCCAAGUUUGAGGUAAUUGAAUGUUUCGGCCCAGUGUUUCAGCUACUGUGGCUUGAAGUAAAAUUUUGGAACGUCCUACAAAUUUGUGGGACAACAA
RNAcentral lists this unclassified non-coding RNA (161 nucleotides) under Mansonella perstans. RNAcentral describes it as "partial miscellaneous RNA". The stretch from base 55 to 159 matches the Rfam family "SL1 RNA". Lineage: Eukaryota; Metazoa; Nematoda; Chromadorea; Rhabditida; Onchocercidae. The record is from RNAcentral.